RNAcentral lists this small RNA (161 nucleotides) under Geobacillus sp. RNAcentral describes it as "c-di-AMP sequence". It matches the Rfam family "c-di-AMP riboswitch aptamer (ydaO/yuaA leader)". Rfam says of the family: This family represents a conserved RNA structure found upstream of the ydaO and yuaA genes in Bacillus subtilis and related genes in other bacteria. The ydaO/yuaA element is thought to act as a genetic "off" switch for the ydaO and yuaA genes in its native state. It is believed that the element may be triggered during osmotic shock leading to activation of ydaO, a predicted amino acid transporter gene, and members of the yuaA-yubG operon which code for KtrA and KtrB K+ transporters. Lineage: Bacteria; Bacillati; Bacillota; Bacilli; Caryophanales; Anoxybacillaceae. The record is from RNAcentral.
CCCUAAAGAACGCUGAAUCCGAACAAGGAGCGGGGGAACCAACCGUGGUCGUUGACCACAUGGGGUGAAUCUCGUUCAGGGAGUAUAUGUUCCUGAACGGGUAGGGUGACUCUCAUCACCCGAAUCCGUCAGCUAACCUCGUAAGCGUGGUGAGAGGAGGG